CAGCAGCCGCGGUAAUACGUAGGGUGCAAGCGUUAAUCGGAAUUACUGGGCGUAAAGCGUGCGCAGGCGGUUAUAUAAGACAGAUGUGAAAUCCCCGGGCUCAACCUGGGAACUGCAUUUGUGACUGUAUAGCUAGAGUACGGCAGAGGGGGAUGGAAUUCCGCGUGUAGCAGUGAAAUGCGUAGAUAUGCGGAGGAACACCGAUGGCGAAGGCAAUCCCCUGGGCCUGUACUGACGCUCAUGCACGAAAGCGUGGGGAGCAAACAGGAUUAGAUACCCCUGUAGUCCUGUCUCUUAUACA
RNAcentral lists this ribosomal RNA (301 nucleotides) under uncultured bacterium. Its description in RNAcentral is "partial 16S ribosomal RNA". It matches the Rfam family "Bacterial small subunit ribosomal RNA", at positions 509 to 809 of the family's 1533-position model. The record is from RNAcentral.